This 159-nucleotide non-coding RNA is filed under the name Thalassovita sp. RNAcentral describes it as "Thalassobius sp. FMN sequence". It matches the Rfam family "FMN riboswitch aptamer (RFN element)". Rfam says of the family: The RFN element is a highly conserved domain that is found frequently in the 5'-untranslated regions of prokaryotic mRNAs that encode for flavin mononucleotide (FMN) biosynthesis and transport proteins. This element is a metabolite-dependent riboswitch that directly binds FMN in the absence of proteins. Lineage: Bacteria; Pseudomonadati; Pseudomonadota; Alphaproteobacteria; Rhodobacterales; Roseobacteraceae. The record is from RNAcentral.
GCGCGUUCUCAGGGCGGGGUGAAAUUCCCCACCGGCGGUAUGUGGCGAGCCGAGACAUCGGUUGCACCACGAGCCCGCGAGCGGCCCACAAUGUGGGUGUCAGCAGAUCUGGUGAGAGGCCAGAGCCGACGGUUAAAGUCCGGAUGGAAGAGAAUGAAG